GAUGAACGCUGGCGGCGUGCCUAAUACAUGCAAGUCGAGCGAACGGACGAGAAGCUUUCUUUUCUGAUGUUAGCGGCGGACGGGUGAGUAACACGUGGAUAACCUACCUAUAAGACUUGGAUAACUUCGGGAAACCGGAGCUAAUACCGGAUAAUAUUUUGAACCGCAUGGUUCAAAAGUGAAAGACGGUCUUGCUGUCACUUAUAGAUGGAUCCGCGCUGCAUUAGCUAGUUGGUAAGGUAACGGCUUACCAAGGCAACGAUGCAUAGCUGACCUGAGAGGGUGAUCGGCCAAACUGGAACUGAGACACGGUCCAGACUCCUACGGGAGGCAGCAGGAGGGAAUCUGCCGCAAUGGGCGAAAGCCUGACGGAGCAACGCCGCGUGAGUGAUGAAGGUCUUCGGAUCGUAAAACUCUGUUAUUAGGGAAGAACAGAUGUGUAAGUAACUGUGCACAUCUGGACGGUACCUAAGCAGAAAGCCACGGCUAACUACGU
This 496-nucleotide ribosomal RNA is filed under the name uncultured bacterium. Its description in RNAcentral is "partial 16S ribosomal RNA". It matches the Rfam family "Bacterial small subunit ribosomal RNA", at positions 28 to 506 of the family's 1533-position model. The record is from RNAcentral.